ACUCUCUCUUCGGAGCAUCGAGUGACAGGUGGUGCAUGGUUGUCGUCAGCUCGUGUCGUGAGAUGUUGGGUUAAGUCCCGCAACGAGCGCAACCCCUGUUCUUAGUAGCCAGCAUUUUGGAUGGGCACUCUAGGGAGACUGCCAGGGAUAACCUGGAGGAAGGCGGGGAUGACGUCAAAUCAUCAUGCCCCUUAUGACUUGGGCUACACACGUGCUACAAUGGCGUAAACAAAGGGAAGCGGAGCCGCGAGGCCGAGCAAAUCUCAAAAAUAACGUCUCAGUUCGGACUGUAGUCUGCAACCCGACUACACGAAGCUGGAAUCGCUAGUAAUCGCAGAUCAGAAUGCUGCGGUGAAUACGUUCCCGGGUCUUGUACACACCGA
RNAcentral lists this ribosomal RNA (383 nucleotides) under uncultured bacterium. Its description in RNAcentral is "bacterial SSU rRNA". It matches the Rfam family "Bacterial small subunit ribosomal RNA", at positions 1011 to 1393 of the family's 1533-position model. The record is from RNAcentral.